RNAcentral lists this long non-coding RNA (853 nucleotides) under Elaeis guineensis (African oil palm). Its description in RNAcentral is "long non-coding RNA (EGUI_LNC030904)". The record is from RNAcentral. Lineage: Eukaryota; Viridiplantae; Streptophyta; Magnoliopsida; Arecales; Arecaceae.
GCCGCCGUCCUCGAGUACCUGUCCUCCGAGGUUGGUCCUUCUCCUCCCUUUUUCUCUUCAUCAUUUAAGCUUUUGAGUUGCUGGCCGGCUUUCUUGCAAUGUUAGCCCACAGAGUGAUUUAAUUAAUUAGGAGCCAUUUCUUAUAAUAAAAUGUUGCAAUGGUGGAGGAAGAAGAAUGGCAUGACAACGUUAUUUUUGCUUUUUUAUUUUCCCCUGCUCUAUUUUUCUUGUUUCAAUCAUUUUGGUUGGCUGGUUUACUUCUUUGUUUCCAUGUCUAUGCUUUAAUGAAAGGAGGGUUAGGCAUUACAUAUGAUUUUUAUGAACCACUAAUAUCGUGAAGUUUCGGGUGAUGUAUCGUGGUGCUUCCCUGCUGCUAAGAGGGAUUUGAAAUACGAUUUACAGGCCGGCCCGACUUCGGUCGCGCCUACCAUAAAUUACUAAUCCGUUCCUUUCGGCCAGACCGGAGUUCGGAGGCAGAGAGCUUGGCGACCCUUUGGAUUCCUCGCGAAUCGUCGGAGGUUUGUGCUCGGGUACGGUUAGUAGCUGGUGUAACGAUCCUUUUCUUUUUGUUUCUAAUACUAUUUUGAUGAAUAUUCGAUAGAAAUGUUGCAACUCCGAUCAUAUUUUGAUCUGGAUCUGAAAUCGAAGUUUAAUAAAUGGGAAUCAAUGCAAGAAUCUGUGUGAAAUCUUCGGAUUAGUUGGAUCCAGAUUGCUUUCUUUCCCCACGUCAGGGCUAAGUUUCUUCGGUUUUUUUGUUCCUUGGGAAGACCUUGAUUCAGGAACUAUUUUCUUUUUGUCUUUUUUGUUUUAUCCUUCGAUUUCGUUAUCAAGAAUUACUAACCGUGAAACUUGG